CAGUAGCCGCGGGAAUACGUAGGGUGCAAGCGUUAAUCGGAAUUACUGGGCGUAAAGCGUGCGCAGGCGGUGUUGUAAGACUGAUGUGAAAUCCCCGGGCUCAACCUGGGAACUGCAUUGGUGACUGCAACGCUGGAGUGCGGCAGAGGGGGAUGGAAUUCCGCGUGUAGCAGUGAAAUGCGUAGAUAUGCGGAGGAACACCGAUGGCGAAGGCAAUCCCCUGGGCCUGCACUGACGCUCAUGCACGAAAGCGUGGGGAGCAAACAGGAUUAGAUACCCGCGUAGUCCCUGUCUCUUAUAC
RNAcentral lists this ribosomal RNA (301 nucleotides) under uncultured bacterium. RNAcentral describes it as "partial 16S ribosomal RNA". It matches the Rfam family "Bacterial small subunit ribosomal RNA", at positions 509 to 807 of the family's 1533-position model. The record is from RNAcentral.